Molecule: RNase P RNA, 386 nt
Filed under: Helicobacter sp.
Lineage: Bacteria; Pseudomonadati; Campylobacterota; Epsilonproteobacteria; Campylobacterales; Helicobacteraceae
Also listed under: 1 other name
Description: RNase P RNA component class A
Rfam family: Bacterial RNase P class A
About the family: Ribonuclease P (RNase P) is a ubiquitous endoribonuclease, found in archaea, bacteria and eukarya as well as chloroplasts and mitochondria. Its best characterised activity is the generation of mature 5'-ends of tRNAs by cleaving the 5'-leader elements of precursor-tRNAs.
Source: RNAcentral
UGGGCGUAGCAAGCGGUUGCUUUUGAUACAAAAGAGGAAAGUCCGAGCUACAUUAAGACAAGGAUUCCAUUUAACUAAUGGCUAGGGUGACCUAAGGGAAAGUGCAACAGAAAACAACCGCCUAGUUUCUAAUGUUAAGAGUUUGGGGUUUUAGAGUUUGCUGCAAAAUUCUUGAAUUUUUAACAAUGAUUUAUAGGUAAGGGUGAAAAGGUGGAGUAAGAGCCCACCGACUUUUUAGCAAUAUUAAGUGCCGUGCAAACCCAAUUCGUAGCAAGAAGGGUAGGUUAAGAGUCUUAAGCUUUAGUCCUUCGCAUGAGAAGCAAAGUGAUUUGCUUCCUAGAUAAAUAACCGCAUAAACAGAACUCGGCUUAUGCUACGCCCAAGUG